Molecule: long non-coding RNA, 12620 nt
Filed under: Malus domestica (apple)
Lineage: Eukaryota; Viridiplantae; Streptophyta; Magnoliopsida; Rosales; Rosaceae
Description: long non-coding RNA (MDOM_LNC004157)
Source: RNAcentral
CAUUUUUUUUGUUUCAGUGAGUGUGAAUUGUUCAGAUGUUUUACACUUUUCCCUCUACCUUCUCGAGAAACAAAGAAAGAUUUUUGGGUUUCAUACAAUGUGAGCCUAAUUAUACUUCCUAAACCCUAAACCCCAAUUAAAAAUUUAAAAAAUAAAAAAAACUAGAAUGUAGCAAUCGGAAGAUGGAAACUUUACAAACAGUGGAGCCGGAGCCGGCCACUGAUCUAACACCGAUACUACCCCAACGACGGUGUAUAUACGUUGCGCUAUUUGGCUGCUACGUCUUGCAUGCAUGCUGCAGAAAAUAAAUUGGAAAAUAUGUCAUAGUUGCAAACAAAGUUAAACAUGAAAGGCCUCCAAAUAGUUCUCCCACGAUUUUACCGAGUUGCCCGUAGUAUUUAAGGGGAGGAAGAUAAAUGUCUAGCAGAAAACAGAAGCAAACGCACUUGAAUCAGCAGAAAGUAACAAGUCUUUGAGUUUAAAAUGACGAUUUUCAUUUAUUGCGGCGGUUUUCAAGAUUUAGCGUCAAUUUUCUGACUUUUAGUGACCAUUUUAAUGUGAAAACGAUAUUAAUUUUCUUUUGCGACAAUAAAAUUCGUCGCUAGUUGUCGCUAAAGAUGUAAAUAUCUUUUGCAACAAAUGAAUUCGUUGCAAAAGAUCACUUUUGUAGCGACUAAAAGGUCGCCGCUAAAAGUCCAACGGAAAUUAAAGACUUCGCCUCCUUUUCCCUUCAGGUAAUAUUUUUGUUUUUAGGACGGAACCAUUCAGGUGAUGGUUUUCGUCCAAUAACCUAAUUUUAUGGACCCUUUUGAAGGAUACAAUAUUAAGCCUUCCAACCAUUUUAAUGGUUUUCGUCCAAUGACCUAAUUUUAAGGAUCCUUUUGAAGGAUCCAUCUUCGGAUACAAUAUUAAGCCUUACAACCAUUUCAAACGAAAUUUGGUAACAAUUCCCGACUCUUGGCCGUACUUGAGUGAUUCUCAGAUGAAUCGAAGUGAGCUGUGAUGCCUGGACCAUUGAGACUUAUAACCUGGACGUUGAUACGUGACGAUGAUACGUUGACGCCUGCAAAAACACCAAAUCAAAGUUCCAUUAAGCAUCUUCCCAAAACAAACCUAAACUCACAAAUCAACUUCUAUAGAAACCAAAUAACAGCUAUUUUUUUCCCAAACUAAUACUUGUAGUCGGAAAGAAACUACGUAAAAAAAUUCAAGGACAUUAAAUACAUCACUGCAGAAACCAACAACAAGAUGAGAAAGGAACAAUGAUAAAAACGAGAUGAGAAAGGAAUAAUGACAUGUAUUACCAAAUAUCUCCGAUCAAAGGCAGUUAGAAUUUAUUUUCAUGUUAGCAUUCUCGAAGGACUAGGGUCCAAACCCACAUAAGCAUGUAACCAGUUUCCAACUAAUUCCACAGAAAGUGAACCAGGUCAAAUUCUAAGACUGAGUUCAGAGAAACGUACAGAACUUAGUAGACUACCAGGAAAAAAAAUGCUACUCCAUAACUGCUCCGACAACAGCCAAAAUACAACUAAUAAGAAACAGAAAUUCAAGUGUUUAACUCACGAAUAAACAUCAAAUUCACUGACACUGCAUUAAACAAGAGAUUAUUGCUUCUAUUUUUCUAUAAAUUAUUGCCCAAAUACAAGGGAUAAAAUUUAGUAAUUUACGAAUAGCUAACUCACUCUGAGUCACACAAAACACUAGGAAUCUAGGAUACAUGACCAUCAAAGGGCACCAGACACCAAGUGAACAGAGCCCCAAAAGGUAUAAAUAAGAAGUCACACCAUAUUCGACUGAUUUCCUUAUCUUGCCAAAUACAACCAAACUGAAUGGAGAAAUCUCAAUAUGCACUUGCAAACAAUGAGAUGCAAACUCGGACAAAAACUGAUGUUUAAGUCCUAAAUAAAACAUGGAUGACAUGAUGAAGCUCAUUUGCCACAUAAGAAAUAACCAAAAACAAACAGAAAAAGCUCCUGAAAUGUAAAGGCUUAAACAUCAGCAGAACUUAAAACAGACGCCAAAAUCGGGUCACAGGGCCAUUACAAACUCGACAUUCAUGUUUCCCUAGGUACAUUAUUAGUGCUUUUGUCAUUUUAGGAUAUAGAAUUUUCCUCCAUUCAUACUGAUACAGCGAUGCUAUAUACUUUUUCUUAAGAAUGGAAUGGCAGAAAAGAAUUUUCUAUAUUAAUUCUCAAUGAAUAUACAAGCUGCGCUAGGGUUCUUAUACAAACUGCAAGAAUACAAUCACAACUUCUAACUCCUACAAAUCAGCUAAGUAAAUAUUUGUACAAAGGGAAAGAAUAAAUCACUGAUAGUCAAUGAUUAUCAUGCUACCAAAUAGGAAGGAAACUAAUCAUAUCUCAACACUCCCCCUCAAGUUGGCGAGUGAAUGUCAAAAACUGCUAACUUGCUCAGCAAAAAACGAAAUUGAUCUUUUCCUAAAGGCUUCGUCAAUAUGUCUGCAACCUGCUUUGAAAGAUGGAACAAAUUUGGUGACUACCUUUCCUUCUUGAAUUUUAUCUCGAACAAAAUGGCAGUCAAUCUCUAUAUGGCGUGUCCGCGCUCAUGAAAAACAGGAUUAGAGGCAAUGUGAAGAGCUGCUUGGUUAUCACAAUGUAAAAGAGCAGGACCCAUAUCUUUAAUGUGCAAAUCACAUAAAAGACUUUGUAACCAGGUGAGCUCACAACAGGUAGCAGCCAUUGAACGGUAUUCUGCUUCUGCAGAAGACAAUGAGACUGUCUUCUGUUUUUUGCUUUUCCAUGAAAUUAAAGAAUCUCCAAGGAAAACACAAUAUCCGGUAGUAGAACGUCGAGUUACUGGACACCCUGCCCAAUCAGCAUCACAAAAGGCCUUCAAUCUUAACGAACUUUGUGAGGAAAACAAAAUACCUUGGCCUGGAGUGUUUCUUCAAGUAUCUCAAAACACGUAAAGCUGCAUCAUAGUGAGGCUUGCGAGGAUGUUGCAUGAAACGACUUAACGUGUUUACUGCAAAAGUAAUAUCAGGCCUGGUAAUAGUUAAAUAUAUCAAAACGUCCUAUCAAUCUCCGAUAGAUGGACGGAUCAUGAAGUAAAUCUCCUUCAUCAGGAAGUAGCUUUAGAUUCUGUUCCAUGGGGAAACUAGCUGAGCGUGCUCCCAAAAAAACCAACAUCUUUCAAAAUGUCCAAUAAAUAUUUUCUUUGAGAAAUAAAGAUCCCCUUUCUUGAACGACGAGCAAUCUCUAUUCCUAAAAAAUAUUUAAGGGCUCCUAAAUCUUUGAUGCGGAAGCGUUUAUUCAAAAAAGAUUUAAGAGAACCAAUAGCCGCCAUGUCAUUACCAGUGAUCAAGAUGUCAUCAACGUAAAUAAGGAGAGCUGUGAACGAUUUGCCAACUUUUCUUGUAAAAAGGGAAUAAUCGGCUUUGGACUGUGUAUACCCAGCUGCAGAAAUGGCUUCAGAAAAUUUAAAAAACCACUGCCAAGAAGCCUGCUUUAAUCCAUACAAAGACUUGUGAAGGCGACAUACUAAAUGCUCCCCCUGUCGCUGAAGACCAGGAGGUGGAACCAUAUAUAUUUCCUCAAGGAGAUCACCAUGGAGGAAAGCAUUGUGGACAUCCAUUUGAUGGAGAGACCAGCCACUAGCAGCCGCAAGAGCAAGGAGACAACGAAAGGUAACCAACUUGGCAGUCGGGGAAAAGGUAUCCUGAUAAUCAACACCCUCAAUUUGAGUGUAACCCUUGGCCACUAAACGAGCUUUGUAACGCUCAAUAGUGCCAUCAGACUUGUGCUUGAUUUUGUAGACCCAACGACAACCAAUAGGGAUCUUGCCAGGGGGAAGAGCAGUCAAAGACCAAGUGGCAUUAGCUUCGAGAGCCUGAAUCUCCGAGGCCAUAGCAUCACGCCACCGAGGAUCUUUAGCAGCCUCUGCAUAUGUGUUAGGUUCAACAGGAAGAGUAAUAUUGGCAAUAAAACUUUGAUAAGAUGGAGAAAGAUGUUGAUAAGAAAUAUGCUUGCAUAAAGGGUGACGAGUACCUUUGGCAGAAGAACCUGGAGUCGAUGCUUGGAGUGGGGAAGACGAGGAAACAUGAGAGCAAACAUAGUCAUCAAGAUAAGUAGGGGUACGUUUAGGCCUAUCAGAAUGUCGUAUUGGGGGGGGUGCAAGUGGGAGACCAGGUGACGGAGAAGGACUAUCGGUGACGGUGUGGUCUAGGAGAAGUGGAACAAGGGAGGUGGAUGGAGACUCAAUGGCAACAGGAGGGGCGGAAGGCUCAAUGACGAAGGGAGUAGGUGGCAUCUCAAUGGCAUCAUGAGUAGGAGGAGGCAAGACAGGUUCAGGAGGUUGGGUUGAAGAAGUGGUGAUAAAAGGAAAAUGAGACUCAUGAAAAAUGACAUCGCGGCUGGUGAACACUUUGUGAGUAGAAAGGUCGUACAACUUAUACGCUUUUUGACCAAAGGGAUAUCCUAUAAAGACACAUUUUCUGGCUCGUGCAUCAAAUUUAUGAAGAGGGUGAACAUUAGUGGCAUAGGCUAAACAUCCAAAAAUACGUAAGUGUGCGUACGAUGGAGGAUGACCAUAAAGAACCUCAAAAGGGGAUUUAUUUGACAAAAGUGGUGUGGGUAAGCGAUUUAUGAGAUAGAUGGCAGUAAGGACACAAUCUCCCCAAAAAUACAAAGGUAAGUGACUUUGAAAACAUAGUGCCCUAGCUACUUGCAAAAUAUGACGAUGUUUCCGCUCGACUACUCCAUUUUGUUGUGGAGUAUAUGUGCAAGAACGUUCAAAAAUCACACCGCUCUCGGAAAAGAAAGAAUGUAGGGACAAAAACUCACUACCAUUAUCAGUUCGGAUUUUCUUAAUUUUGUGAUGGAAUUGAGUUUCUACAUAAGAAAAGAAAGUCUUAAGCAACUGUUGUGUUUCAGAUUUAUUUCACAUCAAAAAGAGCCAAGUGGUGCGAGAAAAAUCAUCAACAAUGGUUAGGAAAUAUCGAGCCCCAUUAUAUGUAGAAAUUUUGUGUGGUCCCCAAAUGUCACAAUGAACAAGCUCAAAAAUGUGUUUACUGGCAAUAUGACUUAAUGGAAAAGGCAAUCUAGUUUGUUUUGCCAAAGGGCAAACAUCACAAGGUUUAUUUAAAUGAGAAGAAACAUCUAACGAUUGCUUAGCUAAAAGGUGGAGUCGUUGUGGAGAGGGAUGACCAAGACGGCGAUGCCAUGAAAUGGAAUUAAUGCAACUGGAUGACGGUGAAGUGGUGCAGCUAUUGUUUGGUUUGGUGAGAUAGUAAAGACCGCCACGUUGUCUACCCCAUCCAAUCAUCUUUCUCGUCUCCAGGUCCUGGAAGAUACAAAAAUCCGGAAAAAAAGUUAUGGAACAUCGAAGGGAUUUUGUUAAACGACUAACGGAUAUCAAAUUAACCAAAAAUGAGGCAAUUCGUAAAACGUUAGUUAAGGAAAGUUUGGGAUCAAAAGUAAAAUUGCCAAUACUACUAAUUGAAACCCUUUCACCAGUCGGAAGUUUUACUGGAGGCAAAGACUUGUUCACAGUAGAGUUCGAUAAGGGAAGUGCCGUAACAUGAUCUGUAGCGCCACUAUCAAUUAUCCACUCUUGUGAAUGAUGAGGAGACAAACCUGUGACGGCAUUGGUCUGUGCUUCAGAUGGUAGAUUUCCAGCCAUCAUAGCAAAGAGUUGUUGAAGCUGCUCAGGAGUGAAAGUCAUCGGUGUUGCUGAGGUAGAUGAAGAAGUGGUAGAAGUUGAAGCUUGAACAUGGUUGGUCGCUGGUUUUCCCUCCUUACUGCGGCCCUUUCCCUUGUUCUUUUUAUGAAGACGAUGGUCCUCGGGAUAUCCAUGGAGUUGGUAGCAAGUCUCCUUAGUGUGGUGAGCUGUGUCACAAUAAUCGCAAUGGAGCGGUUUGCGAUUCCCUUGGCUGCCACGACUUUGUUGAUUGCCGCGACCACCUUGAAUGGCCAUGACUGCUCCUUCCAGACUUGGUUGUGGGACGGCUGUAAUUCCACGUUGCUUCUCCUCUUGAUUAACCAUGGAAAAAACUUUGAGCACCGAAGGCAAUGGCUUUACAAGCAGAAUCUGACCUCUCACUGCUGCAUAUGAAUCAUCAAGCCCCAUUAAAAAUUGCAUAACCUUAUUCUGCUCAUCUUUCUCGUUACGGUCGUUCAUGGCACCACAUGAGCAAUUUUUAUGGCUGCCGUAAGAAGAUAACUCAUCCCAUAAACCCUUCAAUUGGGAAUAAUAGUCAGACACGGACAUCUGAUUUUGAGUGAGACGUGCAAUGUCACGCUGAAUCUCGAAAAUUCGUGGGACGUUGUCUUGCGAAAAACGAGUCUUGAGGUCCUCCCAAACAUCAUGUGCAGUGUCGGCAUAAACCACACUGUUGGAUAACCCAGAACUCACAGAGUUUAAAAUCCACAUGAGAACCAUGUCAUUACAACGCUGCCAAAGAGCAGCUUCAGUUGCGUUCUUGUCGGACGGCUGCUUCACAGACCCAUCAACAAAACCAAAUUUGUUCUUUGCGCUAAGAGCAAUGCGCAUUGAACGAGACCAUGUGCUAUAAUUGUUUCCAGUAAGUAGAGUGGAAACAAGAUGCAUCCCUGGAUUAUCAGAGGGAUGAACAUAGAAGGGGCUUGAGGGAUCGUUCGACGCCGCAACCGACUUGGAGUCUCCCAUAGCAAAAAAAAGAACGACUUUUCUUACAAGAAAAACCGAAGGAAAAAAAGAGGAGAAACCAAGAAAAAAAAAACGUCCUAGGAUCUUGGACUCUCUGGUACCAUCUUAAGAAUGGAAUGGCAGAAAAGAAUUUUCUAUAUUAAUUCUCAAUGAAUAUACAAGCUGCGCUAGGGUUCUUAUACAAACUGCAAGAAUACAAUCACAACUUCUAACUCCUACAAAUCAGCUAAGUAAAUAUUUGUACAAAGGGAAAGAAUAAAUCACUGAUAGUCAAUGAUUAUCAUGCUACCAAAUAGGAAGGAAACUAAUCAUAUCUCAACACUUUUCACCUCAGACUAGUGAAGGAAAGAAACCAAAUACACGAAAAGUACAUCUAAAACCAAUUACAAAGUAUAUGUGUUUGGACCCGAUUUUACACCAUCGGCCCAAGUAAUCGAGGCCGUUGGGUAAGCAAUUUUAAAGGAUAGUAUUAUGAUUUUUAUCGUAAUAUUUAUCCGUUAAUAUUAAUUACUCUUGGCAUAUUCUUAUUAUAUUUUCAAGCAAGCAGUACAGUUCGAGUGGGCUUGGAAUUCUUGUUAUCAGAUUGAGAUAACAUGAUGGGUGUGAUUAGAAUUGUCAAGAUGCAUGGUUUUCUUCUAUGCGUGGGAUGCCAAGAUGAAAUCUCUGAUAAUGGAGCCGCUCAUAUCCUAGAUGGGAUAAUUAUUAGCAUAAAAAUAUAUGCUAAUAUAUGCAAAUUGGUUGGCUGACUCCAUCAAAUCCUACGGCCAAGGACCAAUAAGGAUGUGGAGAUUUUGAAUUAAACAAAGUUUUAUUUGGUUGGAUAACUGCAUGAUGACCUCAUGCGAUUAUAUUUGUUUGAUCCCGUCAAACGUGGAUGCUUUUUCAUGGUCUUUUUUAAAUUGGUAAUGAUCCAAUUUGAGAUAAGGGCUGAUGGGAGUUUAAUCCGCACAUGCAAACCACGCCACAUAUCAAAUACAAUUCUUUGAAGAUCAAACCACGUCAGGCAUGCUCGUUCCUAUAAAUACAAGGCUACAAACAAUGGAAAAGGACCCCUACAAAAUCAAUACAAAAUUGCCCUGCGCAAACUCUCACAACUUGUGAUUUUUUCUUUUUCCUUUCUUCGCGCUGACACAUCUUCCGUUGGCAUCAACACCACUGUGGAAGCAACCGGUGAUAUCUUAAGUCGGCAUAGAUAGCUCUGUCACCGUAGAGUCAGUCGGUCUCGCAGUAUCUUCCGUUGGCAUCAACAGCACUGCGGCGAGGACGACUGGUUACCUAUCCAAGUCUCGGUCGAGAAGGAUUUCCGAAUCCCUAUUGGUCGAGGUCAUCUCAUCAGCCUUCUCGGCGAAGUGAGGUGUUACCAGGUUACUGUAUUCGGCACAUUGACAGCCGAAUUUGAGAUUGAACUUCGCAAAUUAGCAGCCUUGUCUUCAGGCUCUAGAACCCAAGAGGCCGAGAAUUGUUCAUUCCUCGGCCGCAAUCGCAAGACACAGAAGUCAGCGGCGCGCUCGACGCAACAUCAUCAAAUUUACUCAUCGGCCGAGCUCGGCCGACGAGUUGGCACGCCCCGCAAUCACCGAAUGACGUAGUUAGCUUAGAAAAUACUCGGCCUGCGCGCCACGUAGGUUUUUGUAGUUUCUAGGGUCAACAUUUUGGCACGCCCAGUGGGACCUAGUGCUAAAACUACGAAGUUCACAUGAUAGAUCAAGAUGUCAAUCUGGCUCCAUUUAGCCGAUUGCACGAGCUCCUAGAGGAAUUGAAAAAAUACAAUGAGGAACAAAAAAGAUCUUUGGAAGUGGAAAAAGUUCUUCGUGGCCAUAGAGAGAUGCAAAAGUCAUUCGCUUACAUGGUGAGAAUAAAAGCUCCUGUUACCUUGCAAGAGCAAUGGGUAAAUGAAGACAAGGCUCGAUUUAAUGCAUGGCUAGAUGAAGAACGUUUUCCUUACGUUUCUGAUUACAGAUCAAUUCCAUUUGAAAAAUGGUUAGGUCCAAAGGUCGGGGGGCAAUUUUUCGCUCCAGCCACAAUCAAAAUUCGGCCUCAAAAAAUUGUUAAGGUGGCCGAAGAAAUAUGUAGGCCACCUGUUGUUUCGGUCGAGACUCAAAGUGUGGUAGGCCUAAAAGAAAAAGUUGAAGUUUCCGAGCCAAAAAUCGACUCAAAAAAUAAUUCGUCAGAAGAGUGCUCCAAUGACGAACAGUGCCAAGACAUGGUCUUAGAUGCCGAAACUAUGACAAUCGAUAUGGUUAUUGGUGAUAAAGCCGAUAUGGAGAAAUCUCAUUCGGCUAAGUUGCUCGAGUUAAAAGCCAAAAUUUGUGAAAUAAUUAUGCCUGGGGGGCAUAAUAAUUGUUCAACACAUUCAGCAGCCGAUGAUAAAAAAUAUUUCGCCAAGUCAAAAAUAUUUGGAGGAAAUUCUUUAUUCAGCCUAGAGCGAAAUCAAUUUGAAGAUUUUGUUAUUACAAGAUCUCGACUUGGAAUAAAGCAUCGUUGGCCUCCUCCUGACUACGGUUCGGCCACUUUUCUUUUCGUUUGUUAAAUAUAUAUAUUAUUUUCUUAAACAUACGGCUAUGCAAGCCGAUGCGUAAGAAAAUAGGGGGCAAUGCCUCGGUAAAAAUUUUGGUCGAAUAAAAGAAAGUUUGGCCGAGUACGAUGAGUUUGGCCGCAUAUAUAUAUACCAAUUCCCCUCGGCCUCGACUUCGGCUCACUUUACAAAAUUAUAAAAGAGGCGGCCAAAGGAUUUUAGUCAGGCAUGGGACCUUUCUGCUUCGGAGCUCAUCAUUCUUUAUUGCAUCACCUCAAAUUUUCUACCAAGAUCAUGGAGUUAUGUUCCUUGCGUAUCAACAGUACAGGCCGAACCAAAAUGACGGCCUGAUAAUCUACAGUUUAAAACAACCAAUAUGGUCCGUGGAAGGCAAGAGGAUUCUGCUCUCGACCAUAUAUAUUUUCGACCAUAGCUUUGGUCAUCAAAUUAAGGUGGUUAGUCGUUAAGCCAAAAACUGUGAUAAAAAUUUGCAUGGCCGACAACAUUAUUCCAAGGCCAAGAUUUGAUUUUGUGUGUGUGUGCAUAUAUAUAUAUAUAUAUAUAUAUAUAUAUAUAUAUAUAUAUAUAUAUGCAUAGCUAAUGAUGUUGGUCUUCGGCCACUCUAAGACCUCGGCCAAUGAUGAGUCCCUCGACCACUAAGCAUAUGGCUAAUGAUCCUCGGCCACUCAAUAAUAAACCUCGGCCAACGAUGAUGUUCCUCGGCCAACUUUUUGCCGAUAUAUGUUAGCCAAGAGGGUUGGUCAAUAACAAAUACUGGGGAAAUCGCCGAGCUGGGCACAAAUGACUAAUUUCCUUAACCGUUCGGCUUACGGGCCGAAGCUCAAGGAAACUGGGGGGCAAUGUUUGGACCCGAUUUUACACCAUCGGCCCAAGUAAUCGAGACCGUUGGGUAAGCAAUUUUAAAGGAUAGUAUUAUGAUUUUUAUCGUAAUAUUUAUCCGUUAAUAUUAAUUACUCUUGGCAUAUUCUUAUUAUAUUUUCAAGCAAGCAGUACAGUUCGAGUGGGCUUGGAAUUCUUGUUAUCAGAUUGAGAUAACAUGAUGGGUGUGAUUAGAAUUGUCAAGAUGCAUGGUUUUCUUCUAUGCGUGGGAUGCCAAGAUGAAAUCUCUGAUAAUGGAGCCGCUCAUAUCCUAGAUGGGAUAAUUAUUAGCAUAAAAAUAUAUGCUAAUAUAUGCAAAUUGGUUGGCUGACUCCAUCAAAUCCUACGGCCAAGGACCAAUAAGGAUGUGGAGAUUUUGAAUUAAACAAAGUUUUAUUUGGUUGGAUAACUGCAUGAUGACCUCAUGCGAUUAUAUUUGUUUGAUCCCGUCAAACGUGGAUGCUUUUUCAUGGUCUUUUUAAAUUGGUAAUGAUCCAAUUUGAGAUAAGGGCUGAUGGGAGUUUAAUCCGCACAUGCAAACCACGCCACAUAUCAAAUACAAUUCUUUGAAGAUCAAGCCACGUCAGGCAUGCUCGUUCCUAUAAAUACAAGGCUACAAACAAUGGAAAAUGACCCCUACAAAAUCAAUACAAAAUUGCCCUGCGCAAACUCUCACAACUUGUGAUUUUUCUUUUUCCUUUCUUCGCUGACACAUCUUCCGUUGGCAUCAACACCACUGUGGAAGCAACCGGUGAUAUCUUAAGUCGGCAUAGAUAGCUCUGUCACCGUAGAGUCAGUCGGUCUCGCAGUAUCUUCCGUUGGCAUCAACAGCACUGCGGCGAGGACGACUGGUUACCUAUCCAAGUCUCGGUCGAGAAGGAUUUCCGAAUCCCUAUUGGUCGAGGUCAUCUCAUCAGCCUUCUCGGCGAAGUGAGGUGUUACCAGGUUACUGUAUUCGGCAUAUUGACAGCCGAAUUUGAGAUUGAACUUCGCAAAUUAGCAGCCUUGUCUUCAGGCUCUAGAACCCAAGAGGCCGAGAAUUGUUCCUUCCUCGGCCGCAAUCGCAAGACACAGAAGUCAACGGCGCGCUCGACGCAACAUCAUCAAAUUUACUCCUCGGCCGAGCUCGGCCGACGAGUUGGCACGCCCCGCAAUCACCGAAGGACGUAGUUAGCUUAGAAAAUACUCGGCAUGCGCGCCACGUAGGUUUUUGUAGUUUCUAGGGUCAACAAUAUGAGAUACCAAUCUUCAAACUGAAGGAAUAACUUGUUAGAUCAAACACUUUGAAACUGCAUCAACAUGUGAAUAUUUUCCUGUAGUGUGUACUUAUGGACGAAAUUGAAAACGGUGAUUCAAACUUUAAAAGAAAUGCAGAAUUGGGGAUGUUUGUACCACAUUACAUCGACCUCAAAAACACCGAGUACUGGUCAACUAGGAAGCCUCAGUAACCCUCCAAAGGAUCCCCGCUUCAGCAAGGGUGCCGAACCCACGAUCAACCUCAAAACAAGUGAGAGUCACGAUACGUGGUUAUUCCCGUGAGUCCUAAUGUGAGAAUUCUCCCCAACUUGGAGUCAAUCACAAUGCAACAAGUGCAACACCACAUUAAUACAUUCAAACCCACAUUGGCCAAAGUCAAGAAAUCUACUCAAACUUUGCCUCUAUAAAAAGGUAACUUCUGCUCCAUUCAAAGGGUUAAUCACAUUUACUAUCCAACACUAUUUACCAUAAAACUCACCCACGCAGCACCCUAAACUUACUAGCUAACUUAAUCGAAGGCUCUUAGGCUAGUACCACACCCUUCGAUACUUACUCUAUCUUCCUUGCAGGUUGCUUUGCCCGUCUACCUUUGACCAGAGCGCCCUCACGAACAUCCUCUCAUCACUCUUUAGUCUUUACAUUGAUUCAAGAUCAAAUCGAUUUUGUGCAUCAACAGGAGAGGUCUCAAAAAUCAGAUAGGGUCUUAGGUGUCUCCCUCUUUUUGACCUGCUCGGAAAUUUAGAGCCGCCCAAUCACUAGGGACCAACAUUUCAAUUCGAAGUAUUUCUGUUCUAAUUUGCAACCCUACCUUGUUGUAUCCUAGUAUAAUUAGGUGCAAAAACACAGAUAAAUUCCACUAAAUCAUCAUCUAAUUAGCCAUUUAUUUGAAUUCUGAUAAAUAAUCCCUAUCCAGCAUGAACUGAUUUACAAGAAACAGACACAAUUGCAUUUGCAAUCAAUCAAAGUUGAAUUUAAUUAGCCAUUUAUAUAACUAAAUUGAAUUAACUACCAACUAAUUUGCAAUCCAAAUUUCACAAAUAUUGCUAAUAAGAUUUAGUUUUGGGGUUUUUACCAGGAUUAUUCCAUGCGAUUAACGAACGAUCAAAUCGCUUCCACGCCACGAAUCGUUGGGGAUGCAAUCAAUGUGACUAGCCGAUGAUGGAGAGAAUCGACUCGGCCACGAUCGCAGGGGUCCAUUGCACGUCGUCGUUUUGGUCUUCCAAAGCUGUGAAGUGGAAAGUAGAAAGCAUGAGGAGGAGAGAAACUGGGUUUUUCCUUCCUUUUUUUGUUUGGGCCGACUGGCGAUUCUAUUUGCUUAUGAGCC